This 625-nucleotide unclassified non-coding RNA is filed under the name Hevea brasiliensis (rubber tree). The record is from RNAcentral. Lineage: Eukaryota; Viridiplantae; Streptophyta; Magnoliopsida; Malpighiales; Euphorbiaceae.
GAAUGAAUCAAAUCCAAAGUCAAAUUUGUUGCUUCAUUCAGCAGAUACAUAAUACCAAAAGAAAAAUGCUAAGCCCAAAAAAUAGAAUGAAAAAGAAACUAAACUAAAUAAAACGUAUGAGUUUUAUUGACACCAUAGAAUGAAGUUUAUCCAGAAAACGUCGCAAUCAUGUUCUGUCAUGAUACAACACACAACACCCACCAAAAAGGUCACCUGAUAGAUUAUCAGCCAUUUUGAAGUACGGAAAAAUUAGAGCGGUGAUCAAAAGAGAAAACAGGGACAGAAAAGAUUUAAGUGGCAUUUCUUUAGCAUUUUUUAGACAUGGUUUCUUCUUUAAGAGCCAAAACGACAUCAAUGCAAAGUACUUCGGGUGUAACCCCCACGUUGCUGACUCGGUUCAAAUCACUGGAUUCUCUCGGUGCUCGAGUUAUGGUGGGUUACGAUUAGGAGCAGCACCUCAGGUACCGGGGAUUAAUCUGCGCCUUCGAGUCAGGUGGGGUUGUCUAAUAAAUACAUGGGCAUGUCGUAGAGACGGAUGUCAACUGCGUUUUAUGCAUAUUUUCUCCCUUUCAAAAGUGAGUUUGAUUUUUCUUUUCCUUUUUUCAUUCUUUUUCGUUCUGUAAUU